CAUUAUUUGUGUAAAGUGGAAGGAUUUACAUAACCGAGACAGAACCAAAGAAGAGAAAUAAACACACUUGCACAAGAAAGCUAUACAUGAAAAAAGAAAAAGUGAUAUAUUUAAACAACUUAAUCAUAC
Hibiscus syriacus is the source of this 129-nucleotide long non-coding RNA. RefSeq lists it as uncharacterized. The transcript has 2 exons. The record is from RefSeq and is a predicted model, not a curated record. NCBI's taxonomy places the organism in Eukaryota, Viridiplantae, Streptophyta, Magnoliopsida, Malvales, Malvaceae.